GAUGAACGCUAGCGGGAGGCUUAAUACAUGCAAGUCGAGCGGUAACUAUGAGUAGCAAUACGAGUAGCUAGAGCGGCGCACGGGUGAGUAACGCGUACAUGACCUGCCCUUUACUGGGGGAUAGCCUCGGGAAACUGAGAUUUAAUACCCCAUGGUAUUAUUAUGCUGCAUGGUGUGAUAAUUAAAGCUGAGGCGGUAAAGGAUGGGUGUGCGUCUGAUUAGCUAGUUGGAAAGGUAACGGCUUACCAAGGCGAUGAUCAGUAGGGGGC
This 269-nucleotide ribosomal RNA is filed under the name uncultured bacterium. RNAcentral's name for it is "partial 16S ribosomal RNA". It matches the Rfam family "Bacterial small subunit ribosomal RNA", at positions 28 to 291 of the family's 1533-position model. The record is from RNAcentral.